GUUCUGCUCAAUGAUAAAAUUCAAUAGCCGCAGUAUAUUAACUGUGCAAAGGUAGCAUAAUAAAUUGUUUAUUAAAUGUAAACUUGUAUGAAUGAAUUGAUAAAAUAAAAUCUUUAUUAAUUUAAUUAAAUUGAAUUUGUUUUUUUAAUUAAAAAAUUAAAAUUUCUGAAUUAGACGAGAAGACCCUAUAGAAUUUUAUAAUUUAAAUUAAUUAUUUUUAAAUUUAUUGAGUUUAAAUUAUUUUAUUGGGAGGAUAAUUAAAUUUAUUUAACUUUAAUUUUUUAAUUAACAAAUAUAAUUGAAUUAAAGGAAUUUUUAUUAAAAUUAAAAAGAAAAAUUACCUUAGGGAUAACAGAGUACUAUUUUUGGAAAGAUCAUAUUGAUAAAAAUGUUUACUACCUCGAUGUUGAAUUAAGAUAAAGUUUAUUAGAAGAAAAAUAAAUUUUUAGUCUGUUCGACUAUUAAAAUCUUCAUGAUUUGAGUUCAAAUC
RNAcentral lists this ribosomal RNA (490 nucleotides) under Cephalonomia stephanoderis. RNAcentral describes it as "partial 16S ribosomal RNA". The stretch from base 348 to 490 matches the Rfam family "Archaeal large subunit ribosomal RNA", at positions 2542 to 2686 of the family's 2987-position model. Lineage: Eukaryota; Metazoa; Arthropoda; Insecta; Hymenoptera; Bethylidae. The record is from RNAcentral.